GAUACCAGGGUCAAAAGGUCAGAAGUUCGACGCAAGCUUGCUUGCAGGAGAAUUUUUGACCUUGGGACCCGCCAAAAACAUGAAUAAGUAGCCAUUUUUCGCAGAAAAAUGAGCGAAUUAUGAAUGUUUUUGAUGAUUGCGGGAGUACGAAGUACGGAGCAAUCCGGU
This 168-nucleotide small RNA is filed under the name human gut metagenome. Its description in RNAcentral is "Clostridiales-1 RNA". It matches the Rfam family "Clostridiales-1 RNA". The record is from RNAcentral.